This 456-nucleotide ribosomal RNA is filed under the name uncultured Rhodococcus sp. RNAcentral describes it as "bacterial SSU rRNA". It matches the Rfam family "Bacterial small subunit ribosomal RNA", at positions 925 to 1382 of the family's 1533-position model. The record is from RNAcentral. Lineage: Bacteria; Bacillati; Actinomycetota; Actinomycetes; Mycobacteriales; Nocardiaceae.
ACAAGCGGCGGAGCAUGUGGAUUAAUUCGAUGCAACGCGAAGAACCUUACCUGGGUUUGACAUACACCGGAAAACCGUAGAGAUACGGUCCCCCUUGUGGUCGGUGUACAGGUGGUGCAUGGCUGUCGUCAGCUCGUGUCGUGAGAUGUUGGGUUAAGUCCCGCAACGAGCGCAACCCUUGUCUUAUGUUGCCAGCACGUAAUGGUGGGGACUCGUAAGAGACUGCCGGGGUCAACUCGGAGGAAGGUGGGACGACGUCAAGUCAUCAUGCCCCUUAUGUCCAGGGCUUCACACAUGCUACAAUGGCCAGUACAGAGGGCUGCGAGACCGUGAGGUGGAGCGAAUCCCUUAAAGCUGGUCUCAGUUCGGAUCGGGGUCUGCAACUCGACCCCGUGAAGUCGGAGUCGCUAGUAAUCGCAGAUCAGCAACGCUGCGGUGAAUACGUUCCCGGGCCUU